CGGCCGAAACUCCCAGACAGAGGCGAAACUCAUGCAUGUUCGGCGGCACCUUCGGCGGCCGAAAGUCCCAGACAGAGACGAAAGUCUCCUUUCGGGGGCAAGCUUCGGCAGCCGAAGGCUGCCUCCAAAAGCAUGUUCGGCGGCCGAAAGUUCCUUCGGCUGCCGAACCUGGUUUCGCCCAGAAUGGCAGAAACUCAGCUCCCCUAUGCAUUUAUGCCUCCAAAACUAACCAAUCAUGCAUAAACCUAUUCUACAACAUUCCCAAGCAUACACAAGCAAACAUACAAGUUCCUAGGGGCAUCAAACCAUCAAAAACCCCAACUACAACACACAA
This 334-nucleotide long non-coding RNA is filed under the name Manihot esculenta (cassava). Its description in RNAcentral is "long non-coding RNA (MESC_LNC006593)". The record is from RNAcentral. Lineage: Eukaryota; Viridiplantae; Streptophyta; Magnoliopsida; Malpighiales; Euphorbiaceae.